UUCCACAGGGGUCACCAGGGGUGUUAAAAUGCCAGUUCUCUUCUGGGGCAGGCGUGUUCCCUGGUGGGAGGACUGUACUCCAUUGGACGUCCCCACACUCAUGAGUAUGUGGGCAGCACAAAUUGAAGGUGGGGAGGAAGAAGAGGUAGGGUGAAAGAGCAGCUGAGAAGAAAUGAAGUGAACCAUGCUUCCUGCAGCUGAGAAGAAAUGAAGUGACCCGUGCUUCCUGCAGCUGAGAAGAAAUGAAGUGACCCGUGCUUCCUGCAGCUGAGGGCUUCAUCUGUACCAUCUGCUUUCUUGGUCCUCUGUCACCCACCCCAUCACUGAGUUCACUCUCUCUGCACAGUGCCCGUGGUUCCAGAUGUGGUCCCUCAGCUUCCUGCCCUGAGGCCAUGCCUUCAUCCCACCAUCAGGGACUCUAACCCUCAGACUGCAAUGUGACCAGCUGCUUUGUGCUUCUGCAGCCCUGGUGGUCCUUGCCCUCAAAACACAGCCCAAAGCCACCUUCCUUCCUUAACUUGCUUCUGUGAGUUUUUUUUUUUUUUUUUUUUUUUUUUUUUUGGUCCCAACUUGAAGGGUAACUGGUAUAGCUACCAUAGCAUGCUGCUUUAUCACAAGCCCAACACAUCAUGUGAUCAGUUAUAAUGACCUGGACCAUCCCAAUGCCUGAGCCAACAUGAACCUUUCUCUUUAUAAAAAUGCUUAUUAUGGCAAUGGAAAGCCGAGCAACCAAGCUUCAAGCAUUCAGGAGCAACAUUUCGAUUGACACGAAAUCUCACCAUCACUGUGUAAAAUCAUCCAAUUAGAUGU
Molecule: non-coding RNA, 810 nt
Organism: Peromyscus maniculatus bairdii (prairie deer mouse)
Lineage: Eukaryota; Metazoa; Chordata; Mammalia; Rodentia; Cricetidae
Source: RefSeq, a predicted model, not a curated record